UACGUAGGGUGCAAGCGUUGUCCGGAAUUAUUGGGCGUAAAGAGCUCGUAGGCGGCUUGUCGCGUCGACUGUGAAAACCCGCGGCUCAACCGUGUGGUCUGCAGUCGAUACGGGCAGGCUAGAGUUCGGUAGGGGAGACUGGAAUUCCUGGUGUAGCGGUGAAAUGCGCAGAUAUCAGGAAGAACACCCGUGGCGAAGGCGGGUCUCUGGACAGUUCCUGACGCUGAGGCACGAAGGCCAGGGGAGCAAACGGGG
This 255-nucleotide ribosomal RNA is filed under the name uncultured bacterium. Its description in RNAcentral is "partial 16S ribosomal RNA". It matches the Rfam family "Bacterial small subunit ribosomal RNA", at positions 524 to 777 of the family's 1533-position model. The record is from RNAcentral.